CCUACGGGAGACAGCAGUGGGGGAUAUUGCACAAUGGGGGAAACCCUGAUGCAGCGACGCCGCGUGUGGGAAGACGGUCCUCUGGAUUGUAAACCACUGUCCCCAGGGACGAAGAUGACGGUACCUGGGGAGGAAGCUCCGGCUAACUACGUGCCAGCAGCCGCGGUAAUACGUAGGGAGCGAGCGUUGUCCGGAAUUACUGGGUGUAAAGGGAGCGUAGGCGGGACUGCAAGUUGGGUGUCAAAUCUACCGGCUCAACCGGUAGCCGCACUCAAAACUGCAGUUCUUGAGUGAAGUAGAGGCAGGCGGAAUUCCUAGUGUAGCGGUGAAAUGCGUAGAUAUUAGGAGGAACACCAGUGGCGAAGGCGGCCUACUGGGCUUUUACUGACGCUGAGGCUCGAAAGUGUGGGGAGCAAACAGGAUUAGAUACCCCAGUAGUC
RNAcentral lists this ribosomal RNA (440 nucleotides) under uncultured bacterium. RNAcentral's name for it is "partial 16S ribosomal RNA". It matches the Rfam family "Bacterial small subunit ribosomal RNA", at positions 338 to 795 of the family's 1533-position model. The record is from RNAcentral.